Microtus oregoni (creeping vole) is the source of this 8326-nucleotide RNA transcript. It is a transcript of the gene named ankyrin repeat and sterile alpha motif domain containing 1B, with no coding region annotated. The record is from RefSeq and is a predicted model, not a curated record. The transcript is spliced from 28 exons. NCBI's taxonomy places the organism in Eukaryota, Metazoa, Chordata, Mammalia, Rodentia, Cricetidae.
GGCGGGCGGGCGGGCGCACGAGUCUUCGCCGCGGUCGCUCUAACGCUCCAGCCCCCCCGGAGGACGCGCUCGACUGUUCCUGCGGCCGCUCGUCCGCGCUCAGGGUUCUCCUUGGUGCGGAGCAUUCUUCCCAGUGCGGAGCAUCGUCCUUCUGGGCGCCCGAGCAUCCUGCUCAGAGCUCAGCAUCCUCUUCCCUGUGCAUCCUCCCUUAGUGCAUGCUCGGCAUCUUCCUCAGAGCUCAGCGUCCUCCUUUCGUUCCUCAGUGGCACCCGGGGCCCGGUCCCCACCCGCUCGCACCCCACCCCGCGGGAAGGAGGCCUCGGGAAUGCAGGGGAGUGGCUGUGGGGGCGCGUCGCCGCUCGGCCAGCCCCUCUACCCAAACACGGGCUGCUCCCCAUUGUAGAAGCUGCACCGUGUGACAGACAGGAGGACAGCGUGCAGCUCCCGGCACGGGGCUGCUGCGGGGAUCACAGCGUGCUCAAGCCCUGGCAUCCUCUUAGGGUGGGGCGGGGAGGGCCCUGGCUUUUGGAGAGUGGACCCAGAGGAGGACCAGAGCACGGAAAGGACUCUGUAAGGGGACUCGUGAGAGACUAUGGGGAAGGACCAGGAGCUGCUGGAAGCUGCUCGCACUGGCAAUGUGGCUCUGGUGGAGAAACUCCUAUCUGGCAGGAAAGGAGGGAUCCUGGGUGGUGGAUCCGGACCUCUGCCCCUGUCUAAUCUGCUAAGCAUCUGGCGAGGUCCCAAUGUGAACUGCACGGACAGUUCGGGUUACACCGCUUUACACCACGCAGCCUUAAAUGGACAUAAGGACAUAGUUCUCAAGCUCCUUCAGUAUGAGGCAUCGACAAACGUAGCAGACAACAAAGGCUACUUCCCCAUCCACCUGGCUGCCUGGAGAGGAGACGUGGAGAUUGUGAAGAUCCUCAUCCAUCACGGACCUUCCCAUUCCAGAGUCAAUGAACAGAACAAUGAGAAUGAAACCGCCCUGCACUGUGCCGCUCAAUACGGACACUCGGAAGUCGUUGCUGUUCUCCUGGAAGAGCUCACGGACCCCACGAUUAGGAACAGCAAGCUCGAGACCCCGUUGGACUUGGCGGCCCUCUACGGACGGCUGAGAGUGGUGAAGAUGAUCAUAACCGCACACCCAAACCUGAUGAGCUGUAACACCCGGAAGCACACGCCGCUUCACCUCGCCGCCCGCAAUGGUCACAAGGCAGUGGUCCAGGUGCUGCUGGAGGCAGGAAUGGAUGUGAGCUGUCAAACAGAAAAGGGGAGUGCUCUCCACGAAGCGGCUUUGUUUGGGAAGGUGGACGUGGUGCGAGUCCUGUUAGAAACAGGAAUUGAUGCCAACAUCAAGGACAGUUUAGGUAGAACUGUCUUAGACAUUCUGAAAGAGCAUCCGUCCCAGAAAUCUCUCCAGAUUGCAACGCUCUUGCAAGACUAUUUAGAAGGCGUGGGAAGGUCAGCCGUCCUGGGAGAGCAUGCUCAGGAAGACACACCGCAAGAGACACACCUUUCAUCUCCCGCCGAGUCUCCUUCCCAAAAGAGUAAAAGCGAAACUGUCACCGGGGAACUAUCAAAACUCCUGGAUGAAAUAAAACUCUGCCAGGAGAAGGAUUAUUCCUUCGAAGAUUUGUGCCAUACGAUUUCAGACCACUACCUAGAUAAUUUGAGCAAGAUUUCAGAGGAAGAACUUGGGAAAAAUGGGAGCCAGAGUGUAAGAACUUCAUCUACAAUAAAUUUGUCACCAGGAGAAGUGGAAGAAGAGGAGGAGGAUCCAAACACUUGUGGGCCCACAGGACUUUGGGAAGCACUAACUCCUUGUAACGGAUGUAGGAACCUUGGCUUUCCCAUGCUUGCACAGGAGUCUUAUCCAAAGAAGAGGAAUCACACCAUGGAAAUUGUGCCAUCGGCCUCUCUGGAGACAUUUCCUUCGGAAAAUGAGAACUUUCUCUGUGAUCUCAUGGACACAGCCGUUACAAAGAAACCCUGCUCCCUAGAAAUUGCAAGGGCACCUUCUCCGAGAACUGAUAAUGCCUCUGAGGUAGCAAUUACUGCUCCAGGAGCUGGUCACCACAGAAGCAGCUCUACAGGCCCAACACCUGACUGCUCACCUCCAUCCCCCGACACCGCCCUGAAAAACAUCGUAAAAGUUAUCCGACCACAGCCAAAACAACGAACAUCUAUUGUGUCUUCUCUGGAUUUCCAGCGAAUGAAUCAUAACCAAGAAUACUUUGAAAUCAGCACGUCUACAGGGUGCGCCAGCUUUCCUUCCAGUCCUCCAGUUAGUCCGCCCACCUCUUCCGUGGGAACCACAGAAGUCAAGAAUGAGGGAGCUGAGCACACAGAUGAUUUCUCUCAACGGGAAGACGACGAUCCACCAAAAGAAUAUGAUGCGGGGCAGUUCGCAGGCCUUCUCCACGGAUCCUCUCCAGCCUGUGAGUCCCCUGAAAACCCUUUCCAACUGUAUGGGAAAAGAAAUCCAUGCGAAGAUGGACAAGAUGAAGCCAGUUUGGCAAGCAGCCCUCUGCCUUUCAAACCAACUGCAGUAGAAAAUAAGUCAGAGACGGUGGUAAAGAAGAUUAAACCCAAAGUGGUCAGUAGAACAAUUUUCCACAAAAGAAGCCACCAACUGGAGAACCAUACCAUCGUUGGAACAAGAACAUCUCGGAGCGGAUCCCGCAGCGGUGACCAGUGGGGUGCAAGUACAGGGGGCUUUGUGGAGAGAGCGUGUACUCUGGGGAGAAUACGGUCGCUGCCUAAAGCCCUGAUCGACAUGCACUUAUCCAAAAAUGUCUCUAAGUCCGACUCUGAUCUUAUCGCCUACCCUUCCAAGGACAAAGCGAGGGUUAACUGGAGCGAGUCGUCCACGGCUGAACGCAGUUCUAAAGAUAAUUCCGAAAGGACGCCUUCAUUCACGUCCGAAUGGGAAGAAAUUGACAAAAUAAUGAAUUCUAUUGAUGUUGGGAUCACAACGGUCAACAGUGAACUUGAAGAGAUGAAUGGACCCAGAUGCCCCGUCCAAACAGUGGGACAAUGGUUGGAAAGCAUUGGGCUACCUCAGUACGAGAACCACCUGAUGGCUAAUGGAUUUGACAAUGUACAGUUUAUGGGAAGCAAUGUUAUGGAAGAUCAGGAUUUGUUGGAAAUUGGUAUCCUUAAUUCUGGACACAGACAGAGAAUCCUACAGGCGAUCCAGCUCCUUCCAAAGAUGAGACCCAUUGGUCAUGAUGGCUACCAUCCCACCUCUGUCGCUGAGUGGCUGGAUUCCAUUGAGCUGGGGGACUACACCAAAGCCUUUCUCAUCAAUGGAUACACGUCGAUGGACCUGUUGAAAAAAAUCUGGGAGGUUGAACUCAUCAAUGUUUUAAAGAUCAGUUUGAUUGGCCACAGGAAACGCAUUUUGGCAUCUCUGGGAGACAGACUGCAUGAGGAGCCUCCACAGAAGCCCCCUCGAUCCAUCACGCUCAGGGAAGCCAGUGGUAACCACACUCCUCCUCAGUUGUCUCCAUCACUUAGCCAAAGCACUUACACUACUGGUGGCUCCCUAGACGUCCCUCACAUUAUCAUGCAGGGCGAUGCAAGGCGGAGAAGAAACGAAAACUACUUCGAUGAUAUCCCCCGGUCAAAGCUGGAGAGGCAGAUGGCUCAGCAGUCGUCUGUCUGUGAAAUAUGGACGAAUCAGAACGCUGGAUUUCCUUUCUCAGCGAUCCAUCAGGUCCAUAAUACAGGGGACUGGGGAGAACCUUCCAUCACCUUACGACCUCCAAAUGAAGCCACAGCCUCAACUCCGGUCCAGUACUGGCAGCAUCAUCCAGAAAAGCUCAUCUUCCAGUCAUGUGACUACAAAGCUUUUUAUUUAGGUUCUAUGCUGAUAAAAGAGCUUAGGGGGACAGAGUCGACCCAAGACGCCUGUGCAAAGAUGCGGGCCAACUGUCAGAAGUCUACAGAGCAAAUGAAGAAAGUCCCCACUAUUAUUCUUUCAGUCUCAUAUAAAGGAGUCAAGUUUAUUGAUGCAACAAAUAAGAACAUAAUUGCUGAGCAUGAAAUUCGUAAUAUCUCCUGCGCCGCCCAGGACCCAGAAGACCUCUCAACGUUCGCUUAUAUCACGAAAGAUUUGAAGUCCAACCACCACUACUGCCACGUGUUUACUGCCUUCGAUGUGAAUUUAGCCUAUGAAAUCAUCCUAACCCUGGGACAGGCAUUUGAGGUCGCUUACCAGCUAGCCCUACAAGCGAGAAAGGGGGGACAUUCUUCCACGCUUCCGGAAAGCUUUGAAAACAAGCCCUCCAAACCCAUCCCCAAGCCCCGCGUUAGCAUCCGCAAGUCAGUGGCUCUGCAGACUUCCUGUCCCAACAGGCUGGUAUGACUACAAAGCGGCCGCCUCUGGUAGUAGCAACACCCCAGAGCUGGAAGGCGCCCAACCAGCUUCCCAUCUGCUUUCUGCUCCAGCUACCUACCAUCCUGCAUCCUAGAGUCUCUGGGAUUGGCACCGGGCAGGCCCCCAGAAUGCAUUGCCCCCCUCACCCUGCAAUCUUUCCAUCUGCCAAAUUCUCCUCCCAGCAGCCCUCAGCCUCCAUGUCAUGCGGAAAUAGACAUUUUUAACCUCCCAAAAGAGGUUCCUUCCUUUGGUGACGAUGUGGCUACUGGUUCUGGGGCCCCUCCCUCUCCUGUCUUGGGUAACUUCUGCACCCGCGGGGAUGACCCCUCAGCUGACUGGUCAUCACCAAGGGCUGUCCCUCUCAGAUCCCACACUGCACUGCUACCCCUGACCUUCCUGCCUCAGCACCACCCCAGCCCAUGCUCCCAGCGCCCUCUCUCUCCUCUCUCCAGUCCCGCCAAACCCCAAACUGGGACGCGCCUGCUCAGUCCAUUUUUAAGCAUCUCCACCGAAAUCAACAUAAAUCCUUGCUUCUCUCCUCCCUCUGCUGGGCCCCGUAAAUGGCACAACCCUCCAUCACGCUGCUCGCAUCCAAACCCACAAGUCCCCUUGACUACUGCUGCAUCCACACCUCUCCAUCCAACCCGUGAGCAGGGGCCAUUCUCUGUUCCCCUGGAGUGCACCUUCAGCCUGCCCACUCCUCUCCAUUUCCUCCUUCAACCCCGCCCCUCCAAUCCAAGCCCUUCCUGGUUUCUCCCUUUCUCCACACAGCAGAGACCCUGGCACCCAGGAAAUACCACACUCCGCCCCGUUCCUUGACUAUCCACUUCUCAGUGUCGCUUAAGUCUCUCCCUACAGCAGGAAGGCUCUCUUCCACCUCCCCUAGCCCCCGCCCCCAUCCCUGCCCUGCAUGGCCCCCUCCACGGGACCCUAAGAGUCACAGUUGCAUGAAGACGCUUUUCCUGCCUGAAAUAGAUGCCUGGUCACACUCUAGCCCCCUUUCCUUCUCUGUAGUAUUUACUGCGUUUGUUUUCUUGCCACUUAUCUCUGCCUCUCUACUUCAUGACAUACACUGACAUGCUGUGACCCCGGGGGCCAGGGCCUUAGCAUCCACUUAACACACAUCUGUUCUUAAAGAAGUGAGAUCCUGCCGGUGGAUUUAACAAAUGUGUCUCUGAGUCUGACUAGGCUUCUGGGUGUCCAGGAACGCACAGCAUGCUUGGGGGAUUGUCACUUAGGCUACUAUAUUCCUUCUCGUGUGGGCUGGGUAAGUCUGUUCACCGGGGUCCGCGUAGACUUCUUCCAGAUGCACACAGAGCUUCUCGCCGUAAGGGCUCAUAGAAUAUUCAUCUAGCUGCCCUCUCUGGGAACCGGGAAAAUACACAGUGAAUACGGCUAAUGGCUUUACCUGGCUCUGGUUCCAGUCCCUCACCAGGCUUCAGUAUUCCCACUUCCUCAGCUCUGGCUGUUUACUGUUAGGAAAUAGUGCUCCCAAGACUGGGAAGUCCUUCCCUGCGGCUAAGGAGACACAGCAGAAACGCAGAAGAAGGCAGCCCGACAGGUGCAUAGGCACAGACAAACCCUGCAGCCUCCAGCAGGCUGAAGAGCUGGUAGAGGAAGGCUGAGCAUGCCUUCCAGAAAUCCCUUGGCCCAAUUUACAGAGCAAAGUCCAUGCCCAGAGGAUGAGAGACGUUAGGGAACCAGCUUAACUGCGGCCUGUCAGAGCUCAGACCUUAGCUACUGCCCUGGGAAUGGCCUGCUUGGCCAUUGUAAAAGACAAGGACAGUUGAGGUCAAGGCCCAACCUCACACUCCAUCUCCCCCAGGGAUCUGUGCCUGCCUUCUGUCUACCCCAGUACCUCCUCCUAUCCUGGCAGCCCACUCAUUGUCUUAAAACUAUUUAUUGACCGUACAAAUAUUUACUCUAUGCCUGCUUCACACUGGGCUGCCAGGAGCUUUGCCAGGUUUGGAGAACACAGUAAUCAAGGGAACAUAAAACCCCACCUUGGUGGGCAGCCACUGUAGAGAGGGAGUAGGACAGGAAGCCGGCUGGCAUAUGUAUCAGUAAGAGAGCAGAAGGGGGAAGCAGAAAAGUCAUUUUGUAAAGGUGCCAUUUUGUAAAGGGUGUGGCAGGUACGGCUUCUAGGAGAUGUCCGAGUCAAGACCUGGACCAUCCUGGCUAAGAGCCAACGGAGAGAAGAGAGGCCUUGCGCGAGGAUGGGUGCUUGAGGUCCAGCAGCAGGGAGAGGAGAGGCUAUGCGCACUGAUGGGUGUCUGAGGUCCAGCAGAGGGGAGAGGAAAGGCCUUGUGCGAUGAUGGGUGGCCAAGGUCCAGCUUCAGAUGGACCCUUCUGAGCAAAAGACUCUGGCCAAUCUGCCGUGGAUUGUGGAGCCGGGGCAAGAAGCCAAGAGGGCCAUUAAUACCAAGUAUGAAACCACGAUUUUCUGAUACUCGCCGCCCCGUCCUCGCGGUGCCUUGCUCGCCAAGCAGUCCCCGCAGCAGGCUUUCCUUCGCGCCUCCGUGUCCACCCGCCCGGGAGGAAGACUGCUCAGCUCGCGUGGCCUCGUCACGGGCGGAAAGGCCGCCGGCCAUCCCUAGGGAGCUUUCUGCCAGCGAGACUUUGUCGCCCCUAGAGGCGCGGGGCUUGGGGGGGCUGCGCGGGGCACCCCAACUCCGCUACCACCGCCUCCGAGGUACUGUUCGACUGCCCCGUACUUGCUUUGCUUUAGUUGGGGAGAAAAUCUUUUUAAAAGUGAUGGAGGGGGUCUCCAGUACUGCCUAAAAGUCUACAAACAUCUUGGGGUUUAAGUUUUCACCGUCAGCCGUUUUGAAGGGAAAGUCAGGACAGUACUAGCGCCCCCCCCAAAAGCAUCUGUAAAAUCAUUGUUAUCACCGAGUGCAGUCUCAUGCAAAAAGACAAAGCAACCCUCACGAUUGCCAGGAAAUUCCGUCUCCCGAUUUCUAUAUUUGUGGAUUUUAUAUGUAAUCGACUAUGUCAGAUAAAGGAAACCUUUAUUGAAUGAUUCAAAAAUUUAAAAGUGAUUUAAAACAGAGGAAUUUAUUAUGCACAGAAAAAAAUGUGUCUUGUAUUAAAUAUUUUUAUUAAAAGAAUGUUUCAUUAAUGCAUUCAUAAGAACAUUGCGCUUGCUGUGCGGGAUGUUUCUGGUUUCAAGUGACUCCAUCUCUACUGCACAAGGAUCGGCUCAGUUGUGACAACCUCUGACACCGUCCCAAAGGCAGGAGAUCGGGCUCGCGCCCACUCGGGGUGACCCAAAGUGCUGACGCAGCCAUAGCCCGCACGAGUGGUUUUUAGAAAUUUUUUUUUUAACCUUCGAAGUGUUUUAAAGAACAUGUUUAACAAAAAUAAAUAUAUAAUCUAGGGCUCCUGCUGUCAAGAUUUCUGUCAUGGAAACCUUGUUUGAGAAUGGUGUUAAUAAAAUUCUAUUGCAAUUUUUUUUCUAGAAAAAAAUAAAUAACACAAAAAAAGAAGAAAUUCCAAAGUAAUAAAGACUUUUCUUGAAAAAGAUUAAAAAAUGUUUGCUUACUAUUUGAUUAAAUAAAUUUACUUACGUUUCUUUAAGGCAUUUUAAUUUUUUUAAUGUCUCUGUGGAGUAUUUGUAUGAUAUCAUAAUGUAUAUUUCUGUAGAAUCAAAUUAUAUAAACAGUACCAAUAUCAUUAUAGAAAAAUAACAUUUUAAUGUAUAUUGUUCUAACUGAUCAUAUUGUGACUCAUUUUGAAGUUCAUUAUAGCGAUAUUGAUAAAUUGUGAACUUGUCUUAAUGUUUUUUUAUUAACCAAUAUUAUUUUAAACCUGAGAUUAUCACAUUCAUCAGUUGAUGAGUUUUGAAAAAAAAAACUAACUAAAUUUCAUUUCCACUGACAAAUGUAUAUGGUUUUAGUUCAGUGUCAGAGAAUUUUAAUACAAUAUUAAAUUACUUGAACUGAA